Molecule: ribosomal RNA, 497 nt
Filed under: uncultured bacterium
Lineage: Bacteria
Description: partial 16S ribosomal RNA
Rfam family: Bacterial small subunit ribosomal RNA
Source: RNAcentral
GAUGAACGCUGGCGGCGUGCCUAAUACAUGCAAGUCGAGCGAACAGACGAGGAGCUUGCUCCACUGACGUUAGCGGCGGACGGGUGAGUAACACGUGGAUAACCUACCUAUAAGACUGGGAUAACUUCGGGAAACCGGAGCUAAUACCGGAUAAUAUAUUUAAACGCAUGGUUCAAUAGUGAAAGACGCUUUUGCUGUCACUUAUAGAUGGAUCCGCGCCGCAUUAGCUAGUUGGUAAGGUAACGGCUUACCAAGGCAAGGAUCCGUAGCCGACCUGAGAGGUGGACCGGCCACACUGGAACUGAGACACGGUCCAGACUCCUACGGGAGGCAGCAGUAGGGAAUCUUCCGAAAUGGGCGAAAGCCUGACGGAGCAACGCCGCGUGAGUGAUGAAGGUCUUCGGAUCGUAAAACUCUUUUAUUAGGGAAGACCAAAUGUGUAAGUAAAUAUGCACGUCUUGACGGUACCUACUCAGAAAGCCACGGCUAACUACGUG